This 63-nucleotide transfer RNA is filed under the name Stephanitis mendica. Its description in RNAcentral is "tRNA-Cys". Lineage: Eukaryota; Metazoa; Arthropoda; Insecta; Hemiptera; Tingidae. The record is from RNAcentral.
AGUUUUAUAUUCAUAUUAUGAUUUUAAAUUGCAAAUUUAAAGGUGUGGUUAUCACUAAAACUU